GCGGGUGGGCGUGGGCUCCCUCAGCCGAACAGCCCCCGACUGGGCGCCUAUCGCCGCCGCUGUUCUCUCCGCGUUCUCUCUCUCUGCGCCGACUGGACUACCUGCUGCAGUGCUGCUUCCGCCGCCGCCCUACACCAGGUGCCCAGACCUUCGUCCGGUCCGUCUCCAGCAACGAGUAGCCACCAGGUGUCAGGGUAUUUGUAACCAGUGACAAAAGCUCUGCUUGCUGUAGACUCAUGGCUGCAAAGAUACGCGUAGUGAUGAAGUCUUUUAUGAGCCAAAGCAACCAGGUCUCAGGGCUUCUGCCAUUCACAAAGAAGAUUGGACUACCUGAAUCACGAGCCUUGUAUACCGUGUUGCGAUCACCUCAUAUUGAUAAGAAGUCCAGGGAACAAUUCUCAAUGCAUGUCAAGAAACAGUUUGUGGAGCAGACAGCCAAACCUCACGAACUUCACAAAAAGUUCUUCUGGUUAAAACGCCUGCGUAUACCUGGGGCUCAGUUUGAAGUCCAAAUUUCUUUCAAGACACGUCUGGAUAUGGCAAGACUAAGGUCCCAAGCUCCUUGAUGUCAUCCCGAAAGUUUGAAGUGCUGAGACUGGUACUCAGAACUUGUAUCCAUCAACAUUUCAUAUGAAGACAUGCUUAUUUUGGUGAUGUAGGUACCAUUGGAGAUGUAGGUCCCAAGUCUUAAAUCAAUAUGGGGAGAAGAAAAAAAGGUUACUUUCAAUGGUUUAGCAAAAUUGAGUUGGUAAAACACAAAGUGUGGACCCAGCGGUUAUUUUUUCAAGCGAAAAUUUUCUUCA
Long non-coding RNA from Sorghum bicolor (sorghum), 803 nucleotides. RefSeq lists it as uncharacterized. The transcript has 2 exons. The record is from RefSeq and is a predicted model, not a curated record. Lineage: Eukaryota; Viridiplantae; Streptophyta; Magnoliopsida; Poales; Poaceae.